RNAcentral lists this non-coding RNA (26 nucleotides) under Rattus norvegicus (Norway rat). The record is from RNAcentral. Lineage: Eukaryota; Metazoa; Chordata; Mammalia; Rodentia; Muridae.
UGCCAGUCCCACGGAGACGGCUUACC